This 497-nucleotide ribosomal RNA is filed under the name uncultured bacterium. RNAcentral describes it as "partial 16S ribosomal RNA". It matches the Rfam family "Bacterial small subunit ribosomal RNA", at positions 28 to 507 of the family's 1533-position model. The record is from RNAcentral.
GACGAACGCUGGCGGCGUGCCUAAUACAUGCAAGUUGAGCGCUUAAGGUUGGUACUUGUACCAACUGGAUGAGCAGCGAACGGGUGAGUAACGCGUGGGGAAUCUGCCUUUGAGCGGGGGACAACAUUUGGAAACGAAUGCUAGUACCGCAUAAAAACUUUAAACACAAGUUUUAAGUUUGAAAGAUGCAAUUGCAUCACUCAAAGAUGAUCCCGCGUUGUAUUAGCUAGUUGGUGAGGUAAAGGCUCACCAAGGCGAUGAGACAUAGCCGACCUGAGAGGGUGAUCGGCCACAUUGGGACUGAGACACGGCCCAAACUCCUACGGGAGGCAGCAGUAGGGAAUCUUCGGAAAUGGACGAAAGUCUGACCGAGCAACGCCGCGUGAGUGAAGAAGGUUUUCGGAUCGUAAAACUCUGUUGGUAGAGAAGAACGUUGGUGAGAGUGGAAAGCUCAUCAAGUGACGGUAACUACCCAGAAAGGGACGGCUAACUACGUG